This 388-nucleotide ribosomal RNA is filed under the name uncultured bacterium. RNAcentral describes it as "bacterial SSU rRNA". It matches the Rfam family "Bacterial small subunit ribosomal RNA", at positions 29 to 416 of the family's 1533-position model. The record is from RNAcentral.
AUUGAACGCUGGCGGCAUGCCUUACACAUGCAAGUCGAACGGCAGCACGGGAGCAAUCCUGGUGGCGAGUGGCGAACGGGUGAGUAAUAUAUCGGAACGUGCCCAGUCGUGGGGGAUAACGUAGCGAAAGCUACGCUAAUACCGCAUACGAUCUAUGGAUGAAAGCGGGGGGAUCGCAAGACCUCGCGCGAUUGGAGCGGCCGAUAUCAGAUUAGGUAGUUGGUGAGGUAAAGGCUCACCAAGCCGACGAUCUGUAGCUGGUCUGAGAGGACGACCAGCCACACUGGGACUGAGACACGGCCCAGACUCCUACGGGAGGCAGCAGUGGGGAAUUUUGGGACAAUGGGCGCAAGCCUGAUCCAGCAAUGCCGCGUGCAGGAUGAAGGCC